This 275-nucleotide ribosomal RNA is filed under the name uncultured bacterium. Its description in RNAcentral is "partial 16S ribosomal RNA". It matches the Rfam family "Bacterial small subunit ribosomal RNA", at positions 338 to 630 of the family's 1533-position model. The record is from RNAcentral.
CCUACGGGUGGCUGCAGUGGGGAAUAUUGGACAAUGGGCGAAAGCCUGAUCCAGCCAUGCCGCGUGAAUGAUGAAGGCCUUAGGGUUGUAAAGUUCUUUUAUCCGGGAAGAUGAUGACGGUACCGGAAGAAUAAGCCACGGCAAACUUCGUGCCAGCAGCCGCGGUAAUACGAAGGUGGCUAGCGUUGUUCGGAAUCACUGGGCGUAAAGCGCGCGUAGGCGGCUUUGCAAGUCAGGGGUGAAAUCCUAAGGCUCAACCUUAGAAUUGCCUUUGA